UCCCAGAUAGCUCAGUUGGUAAAGAAUCUGCCUGCAAUUCAGGAGACCCAGGUUCGAUCCCUGGGUUGGGAA
Molecule: transfer RNA, 72 nt
Filed under: Bos taurus (domestic cattle)
Lineage: Eukaryota; Metazoa; Chordata; Mammalia; Artiodactyla; Bovidae
Also listed under: 2 other names
Rfam family: tRNA
About the family: Transfer RNA (tRNA) molecules are approximately 80 nucleotides in length. Their secondary structure includes four short double-helical elements and three loops (D, anti-codon, and T loops). Further hydrogen bonds mediate the characteristic L-shaped molecular structure. tRNAs have two regions of fundamental functional importance: the anti-codon, which is responsible for specific mRNA codon recognition, and the 3' end, to which the tRNAs corresponding amino acid is attached (by aminoacyl-tRNA synthetases). tRNAs cope with the degeneracy of the genetic code in two manners: having more than one tRNA (with a specific anti-codon) for a particular amino acid; and 'wobble' base-pairing, i.e. permitting non-standard base-pairing at the 3rd anti-codon position.
Source: Rfam by way of RNAcentral